Molecule: ribosomal RNA, 253 nt
Filed under: uncultured bacterium
Lineage: Bacteria
Description: partial 16S ribosomal RNA
Rfam family: Bacterial small subunit ribosomal RNA
Source: RNAcentral
UACGUAGGGGGCUAGCGUUAUUCGGAUUUAUUGGGCGUAAAGGGCAUCUAGGCUGUUACAUAAGUGUGGAUUUAAAGACCGGAGCUUAACUCCGUGUAUGGUCUGCAAACUGUGUAACUUGAAUGUAGGAGGGGAGACUGGAAUUCCACGUGUAGGGGUGAAAUCUGUAGAGAUGUGGAAGAAUACCGGUGGCGAAGGCGAGUCUCUGGCCUAUUAUUGACGCUGAAGUGCGAAAGUGUGGGGAGCGAACAGG